Molecule: long non-coding RNA, 512 nt
Filed under: Malus domestica (apple)
Lineage: Eukaryota; Viridiplantae; Streptophyta; Magnoliopsida; Rosales; Rosaceae
Description: long non-coding RNA (MDOM_LNC005616)
Source: RNAcentral
UUGUAAAUAAGUCCAAAACUCACUCCAUCUCUAAAUGGCCGGCCUUAGGGUAUUAUUGGGCUAAAUGGGCCUUUGUGAAUCAUUAUUCAUUAAGUUGUCAUACAACUUAAGUCAAUGGGCUUGACGUUCGAAGCCCAUUGGGCCUUAAGGUCCAAAACUAUCCCGAGGUCCUUAACGAACUUAUUCGUUUGAUUAAUUAACAUAUUAAUUAAUCCUUGCCAUAAAUAAUUAAACCAUUUAAUUAUUCUUACUCAUCUCCAUUAUUUCUUCAAUCUCCACCUUACACAAUGUACGAUCCAUUAGGUUCCUUUUAGCGAGGUAGUGGACGAUUAAAACCAUUUCAAAUCGAUUGUGAAUUGAAACUUACUUUCAAUUCUCCCUUUAGUGAUUAUACACGUUUAGGGUUUCCACAAACCAUGAGUGACACCUAGCAGUAUAUCAUUGUUACCCAAGCUAAUCAGAAGAGGUGGAGAACCUAUUCAGUUUAGGAUUACAAAUGCAAUACGGUCUUU